AAUAACAAGUGGAUUGUUUUAACAUAGUUUGGUCUGGAAAUAUCAGGUACAUUUUGCAGCAACUAAAGAAGGGUUGUCAUUGUACUUUGCCAAAUGUGGGGAGAUUGCCAACUUGGUGAUUUUGAUUGAUGAAGCUACUGCACAACCAAAAGGGUCUGCUUAUAUUACUUUUUCCAGCAAGGAGUCUGUUGACAAAGCAUUAGAAUUGAGUGGGACUACAUUUUUGUCAAGGACUAUAAAGGUGCUGAGGAAGGUAGAAACAGCUGCUUCAACUUCUGGACCAGCCCUGCUUGCUGGGAGGCAGUGCCAAACACCUUUAACUCACAUCAACAGAAAUUUUAUCCCCAACAAACUAUAUUGUUCAAGCUCUCCUCUACAAUGGCGAAGAGUGUCCAUCUCUACCCUAUCAGAACCAUCUGCAGCUUCAACAAAUGAUAAACUGAAAGGAGCUGCGUCAUCUACCUUCCAACAACAGCUUCCUAGUUCAACUGCAUCAUUGAGAACCAGUGAAGUAAAGUCUUUGUCUAGAGUGCACCCAGCAGCUUCCUAAUUUUUCUGAAAAUCAUAUAAACUAAUUGGUUGCAAAGCCUUGAAUCUGUUGAGGGAUCAAUGUCUCUUUAGUGGGAUAGUAGUGACCUUAGUAGAUGCUGACAAUAAUGUGCUAGUAGUUGGAUUCUGGAGUUUGAUGAGCAUCCGCUUAAUUUGAAAGUCUAGUUAACCUUUGAACUGAAGAUUAAAAUGAAUUAAGAUGCAAAUUUCUUA
Molecule: long non-coding RNA, 762 nt
Organism: Quercus lobata
Lineage: Eukaryota; Viridiplantae; Streptophyta; Magnoliopsida; Fagales; Fagaceae
Exons: 3
Source: RefSeq, a predicted model, not a curated record